Long non-coding RNA from Rhododendron vialii, 650 nucleotides. RefSeq lists it as uncharacterized. The transcript is spliced from 3 exons. The record is from RefSeq and is a predicted model, not a curated record. NCBI's taxonomy places the organism in Eukaryota, Viridiplantae, Streptophyta, Magnoliopsida, Ericales, Ericaceae.
ACCAGCGACCAACUUCACUCAGAGUGGUUCUAACUGGCGGCUCGGCUGGCACCCCCAAAAUUAUUCGCUGCCUGAAUUAACGUACGGGAUUGGAACUGGGAGCGCCAAACCAAACCAAACCAAAUCAAAACUACGCCUCACUCCCGCCAGUCGACGUCGACUCCUAUUCUAUUCCGUCUCAAUCCUAGCACUAGAAGCCCUCCACCGCCUCGCAACCCUCAUUCCGAUUCCUCCACUUUCGAAGACCUCUGCUUCGACUGCUUCUCUCGAUUUCGCGAAUUUAUUCUCCGGAGACAGGAUUCUCCCAGAAACAGGUUCCAUCCACAAUGACAGCUUUCUCUAAUCUCACCGUUGGCUUACCGACAUCCGCCGGGACCAGAGAUAUUGUCAAGGCUUUUGCUUUCACUUGUGGCACCUGCAAACAGCCCAUUACACAAACCAGAUAUGUCCCAUGAGUAAACACAACCUCAUAAUGUGUCCUCCAGCAGUGCACUUGCAUGCUGGCCAAUGCUCUUUCCAUAAUUGACUACCUUGUUGGUAAUCAAAUCCCUGCCAUAGUGCUCUGUGAGUGCGCGUUAAGACACGUGAAGGCAUGUGCUCCCUCCCUCCCUCCCCCCCCCCCCCCCCCCCCCCCCCUCUCUCUCUCUCUC